This 806-nucleotide ribosomal RNA is filed under the name uncultured bacterium. RNAcentral describes it as "bacterial SSU rRNA". It matches the Rfam family "Bacterial small subunit ribosomal RNA", at positions 8 to 808 of the family's 1533-position model. The record is from RNAcentral.
AGAGUUUGAUCCUGGCUCAGGAUGAACGCUGGCGGCGUGCCUAACACAUGCAAGUCGAACGGAUCCAUACUGAAACCUAGUGAUGUAUGGAUUAGUGGCGGACGGGUGAGUAACGCGUGGAUAACCUGCCGUAUACAGGGGGAUAACACUUAGAAAUAGGUGCUAAUACCGCAUAAGCGCACGGUUCCGCAUGGAACAGUGUGAAAAACUCCGGUGGUAUACGAUGGAUCCGCGUCUGAUUAGCCAGUUGGCGGGGUAACGGCCCACCAAAGCGACGAUCAGUAGCCGGCCUGAGAGGGUGAACGGCCACAUUGGGACUGAGACACGGCCCAAACUCCUACGGGAGGCAGCAGUGGGGAAUAUUGCACAAUGGGGGAAACCCUGAUGCAGCGACGCCGCGUGAGUGAAGAAGUAUUUCGGUACGUAAAGCUCUAUCAGCAGGGAAGAAAAAAAGUCCUUUGGACUUUGGACGGUACCUGACCAAGAAGCCCCGGCUAACUACGUGCCAGCAGCCGCGGUAAUACGUAGGGGGCAAGCGUUAUCCGGAUUUACUGGGUGUAAAGGGAGCGUAGACGGCAGCGCAAGUCUGGAGUGAAAUGCCGGGGCUCAACCCCGGAACUGCUUUGGAAACUGUGCAGCUCGAGUGCAGGAGAGGUAAGCGGAAUUCCUAGUGUAGCGGUGAAAUGCGUAGAUAUUAGGAGGAACACCAGUGGCGAAGGCGGCUUACUGGACUGUAACUGACGUUGAGGCUCGAAAGCGUGGGGAGCAAACAAAAUUAGAUACCCUGGUAGUCCACGCCGUAAACG